UCGACCAAACACCCCUGUACAGAACUUCUCUUCUAAAACCCUAAUUCAUUCAUCUACAUCAAAAAUCAAAGAAGAAAAUCAAGUUUGAAUCAAUUUCAAGUGAAAUUAGUGAUCAUCAUACUUAGUAUAUCACAAGGCAAUUUGGGUGGAACCUCAAGUAAUCAAGGAGGAUCGGAUAAUCGUUUGAAAGGAAAGCUUUAAAAGGUAAAUGUUAUGAACUUGCGGAUGACGAUCAAGCAUGAUUAGAGAACCGAACACACGCGUAAAAGAAGCUUCCACAAAAGCAAAGAAAUUAUGUCUUUUGUUACUAAAUACUUUAGUAAUGUUUUAUCAAACUUUUGUAAAUAUGGUUUGAGUGUUUUGAAAGUUAAAUAUGUUUUGUUAUAACACUAUGGUUGGAAACGUUAGUAAACAUAA
Long non-coding RNA from Helianthus annuus (common sunflower), 417 nucleotides. RefSeq lists it as uncharacterized. The record is from RefSeq and is a predicted model, not a curated record. The transcript is spliced from 3 exons. Lineage: Eukaryota; Viridiplantae; Streptophyta; Magnoliopsida; Asterales; Asteraceae.